AUGGGCUCGCCGUCGGCUCCGCCCGCUCUCCUCCUCAGCUUCCUCGCGCUGCCCUACGGUAGCAGCAGCAGAAGAUCCCUCUUCCUCAACUCGAAGCAGAGGCUGCAGCGAUUGCCUUCACCAGGAACCGGUCGCCGUCACGUGGCGGCGGCGGCGGUGGACAAGCUCGCGCCCCGGCCGCCGGAGGCUGGCCGUCUUAGGUGGAAGUACCGGCUAGCGUGCCGCGGGUCCUACGACGGGCUUCCCGGGCUUCCUCCUCCGCCUCCUUCCGGUGAGGCGAGUGCGUCAAGAAAUGCUGCGAAAUUUAGCGUGGAUGGGUGGCGUCCUGCCCUUCGCCGAUGGGAUGUGCCAUGGCAGUGGCCAACCGUGUCCCUCACCAUGGUGGCCUGUGCACUAAGCGCUCUUUUGGCAGGAAAGGUUGAGCAAUCAGUUUUGGAGUAUCUAGGCUAUCAAGCCGGAGAGGCAACUAUUGAUGAGAAGGCCGGGGUACUCUUUCUGGAACAAUUUAGUGUGACAGCAGUUGCCAUUGGAGUUAUAUUUGGCAUCACCAAUACCUUUCGACCAUUCUCGGAUGACAUAUUUCGUUAUGAUUUUAAGGAACCAUUUAAGCUGCAAAACGGCUGGCUCCUGUGGGCUGGAAUUGGCCUCUUUUUUGCUCUAGUUUCCAUUUCUUUAACUGGAGCAGUGAUGACCUUUCUGAAUGGUGAAACCACACAGAGAGAGACUGACUCGCUACUUCUUCUAUUGCCACUGAUAGGCUCGUCGAAUAUCAGCACUGCCUGUCUGCUGGGCAUCACUGGGGUUCUUGCACCAAUUUUGGAGGAAACUGUAUUUAGAGGAUUUCUAAUGGUAUCCUUGACUAUGUGGUUUUCUACGCCAGUAUCUGUUCUGAUCACAGCUGUGGUGUUUGCCUUUGCUCAUCUUACACCAGGAGAGUUUCCCCAACUUUUUGUGCUUGGUGUGGCACUGGGAUUCUCAUAUUCUCAAACUCGGAAUCUUCUUACUCCUAUCACAAUUCAUGCUGCUUGGAAUUCCGGAGUAAUAUUGUUACUAACCUUUCUUCAGUUGCAGGGAUAUGAUAUCAAGGAGCUGCUGCAGGCAUCUUGA
RNAcentral lists this ribosomal RNA (1107 nucleotides) under Triticum aestivum (bread wheat). RNAcentral describes it as "partial small subunit ribosomal RNA". Lineage: Eukaryota; Viridiplantae; Streptophyta; Magnoliopsida; Poales; Poaceae. The record is from RNAcentral.